UAGAAAAUAGUAAAAUGGGAUUACAGGGGGUUUUGAUCUCUCAGUUGUAGGUUCAAUUCCUACUUUUUUAG
Molecule: transfer RNA, 71 nt
Filed under: Aplastodiscus arildae (Teresopolis treefrog)
Lineage: Eukaryota; Metazoa; Chordata; Amphibia; Anura; Hylidae
Description: tRNA-Gln
Rfam family: tRNA
About the family: Transfer RNA (tRNA) molecules are approximately 80 nucleotides in length. Their secondary structure includes four short double-helical elements and three loops (D, anti-codon, and T loops).
Source: RNAcentral